AUGGUAAAGCCACAAAUUUCGCCCGUCGCUGCUACAUGGUAAAGCCACAAAUUUGGCUCGUCGCUGCUACAUGGUAAAGCCACAAAUUUGGCUCGUUGCUGCUACAUGGUAAAGCCACAAAUUUGGCUCGUUGCUGCUACAUGGUAAAGCCACAAAUUUCGCCCGUCGCUGCUACAUGGUAAAGCCACAAAUUUGGCUCGUUGCUGCUACAUGGUAAAGCCACAAAUUUCGCCCGUCGCUGCUACAUGGUAAAGCCACAAAUUUGGCUCGUUGCUGCUACUGGGUUAAGCACAUUAGCCACAUUCCACACAGACACACUUCUCUUCUCUUCUCUUCUCUUCUCUUCUCUUCUCACAUUUUCUUCCUCUUUCUAUUGUUAUCUUCUUCCAUAUAAUACUCAUUCUCAGCUCCACUUCUUCCUCCUCUUUCUUCUUCAUUAACUUCCUUCCCUAUUUCUUCUUGACUUCCUUCCAUAUUUCUUCCCUCCAUCCUCCCUUUCACCACUCAUUCCAUAUUUUUCCUUUGUCAUUCUUCCUUUUCUUCCUCCUCUGUUACUCCAGUUAAAGAAGUUCUCCCUCGACAUAACAGUACAGUACAUCACCACAACACAUUUAAACAUUAACCACCCACUACACAGGUACAUUCUACAGUUACGUGACACCACACUACCUAAAUUAGACCAUCUGGAGGCUGCCUGAAACCUCUGCAGCAGCUUAAUUCUACUUGGAGUGGUACUGAAUCCUUUAAAAUUAGACAACAUGGUUUCAGAUCCUGUUAUAAGUAGUUAGAAUGCAAUUAAUGAUGAAAGAAAAAGAAGAGAAAGUAGAGUGAAGAAUGAGGAUGAGAGGGAAGAAGAAAAUGAAGAAAGAAUAAUAGUAGAAGGGAUGACUAAAGAAAAGAGGAAAUGAGUUAAAAAAAGAGUUGAAGAGAAGAAAUAUGGAAGGGUGUUAAUGAAGAAGGAGAAGGAAGAACAGAGGGUUGAAAGGAAGAAGAAAAGAAAAACAUUAAAAGAAAGAAGAGAAGAAAGAAGGAGUAAAGGAAAAUAAAAUAAUGAGGAGACUUUUUGUAGGAGGUUAAUGAAGAAAACAAACAAACAAGAAGAAAAGUUGAGAAAGAGAGUUGAAAGGAGGAAGAGAAGAAAAAUGUUAAAAGAUAGAAGAGAAGAAAGAAUGACUAAGUAAAAUAAAUAAUGAGGUAUAAAAUUAUAGAUGGAGGGAAGAAUUUUUGUAGGAGGUUAAUGAAGAAAACAAACAAACAAGAAGAAAAGUUGAGAAAGAGUGGUUGAAAGGAGAAAGACAAGAAAAACAUUAAAAGAAAGAGGAGAAGAAAGAAUGACUAAAGAAAAAUAAAAUAGAGGAAAAAAUUAUCGAUGGAGAGCAGAAGAAAAACAAGCAAAACAAGAAGAAAAGUUAAGAGAGAGGGUUGAAAGGAGGAAGACAAUGAAGAAGAAAUGAAGAAAAAAUGGAUUGAAGUAUAGAAGGAAGGAUGGAGUAGAGAGUUAUGGUAGAAAGUUAAUGAAGAAAGAGAAAGAAGAAGAAGUGAAGCUAAGAAUGAGAGGGAAAUGGAAGAAGAAGAAAAAGAACAGGAAUAUAUAAAAUAGUUGAAAAUGAGUGAAAAGUAGAUGAAGAAAAAGGAAAUAAUAACAAUAAGAAUAGAAAAAACUAUGUAAUGUGAAAAAGAAGAAGAAGAAGAAGAAGAAGAAGAAGAACAAUAAUAUAUAAACUAAUUGAAAAUGAGUGAAAAGUAGAUGAAGAAAAAGGAAAUAAUAACAAUAAGAAUAGAAAAAAACUACGUAAUGUGAAAAAAAGAAAGAAAGGGAGGAAGAAGAAGUAGAAGAAGAAGAAGAAGAAGAAGAAGAAGACUAGGCCUAAUAUAUAAACUAGUUGAAAGCAUAUGAAAAGAAGAUGAAGAAAAGGAAAUAAUACCAAUAAUAAAAGAAAAAAAAACCUAAUGUGAAAAAAAAAAUGAAAUAAGAAAGAAAGAAAAAAAAAGACAAGAAGAAGAAGAAGAAGAAGAAGAAGAAGAAGAAGAAGAACAGUAGGCCUAAUAUAUAAACUAGUUGAAAGCAUAUGAAAAGAAGAUGAAGAAAAGGAAAUAAUACCGAUAAAAAAAAAAAAACUAAUGUGAAAAAAAAAAUGAAAUAAGAAAGAAAGAUAAAAAAAGACAAGAAGAAGAAGAAGAAAAAAAGGAAGAAAAAGAAGAAGAAAUUAAAACUAUGAAUAUGAGUUGAGAAUAGGAAAAUUACCCUCCAUUAUACCACCACAAAACCACAUAACAGUUCUCCACACACACACACACACGCACACACACCACAAAGAUAAGUGUUGGCCCCUGUAAUGCGUUUGGUGUACAUGAAUGACAUAGUGUAGGGCAAAUAGCUGCACUUGUCUGUUUGAUGAAGAUGCAAAGGUAAUGAGAUAUCAGGUGGAGGAAGAGUAUUGUUUGAGGCUGCAAGAAGGUGCUGAGAGAUGCAAUAGUUGAGGUUGAGAUAGAGAAAUGCAAUGUGAUUCUUAACUCCUUGAUUGCGGAUUUCCUACAAGAAGACAUCAAGCUUCAGGAAUGGAACAAAAAGUGGCUGCUACAAUUCAAUGAAGAAAAAUAUAAAGUCCUGCACAGCAAUACCACAUGGGAAACUCUCCACUAUCCACCACAGAGGCAGAGAAAGACCUGGGAGGAUUUGUUACCAGGCUACCAGUGAAAGCCAAAUCCGUGCUAAUCGCAGCGGACGGGUUAAGAAACGUAAAUCAAACGGAGACCCAGCUGGAAUUGUGACAUAGGGAGCGAUCAAAUUAACCUGGUAGCAGCGACGGGCCAAAUUUGUGGCUUUACCGUGUAGCAGCGAUGGGGCAAAUUUGUGGCUUUACCGUGUAGCAGCGAUGGGGCAAAUUUGUGGCUUUACCGUGUAGCAGCGAUGGGGCAAAUUUGUGCCAUGAUAUAAACCCCCCAAAAUAGAUGAUACAUAAUCUGAUCACAAAUGCUUUGAUACAUAUUAUUAAAUGGUUUGUGUGAGGAGUGAUUUUUUUCUCAUUUUUCUCGCUUUGAGGGACCAUUAAGAAACAUGAUCCCCGCUGCUACCGGGUUAACGAGGCACAGGAAGAAAAAGGUUUAGGUGCUACAAAACAAAAGAACUUGCCCCAGAGAGAAACGCUUGAGUUUAUAGGAGAAUACUACAAGAUCCUAACCACCAUGAGGGCAGCGUGCCACUACAGAGGAAGGAGGAAAAAGGAAAGAUAUAAUACAACAUGGAUGGAAUUAUAAAUGAGAAAGGACAGAAAUAGAUACAAAUAAAAUAAUUACUAAGGAAAAGGAAGAAAUAGAAAAUACGUAAUAAAAUAGGAGAGGAAAUAAAAGAUAGAAAGGACAGAAAUAGACAAAAAAAGAAAAAAAGAA
Molecule: long non-coding RNA, 3390 nt
Organism: Eriocheir sinensis (Chinese mitten crab)
Lineage: Eukaryota; Metazoa; Arthropoda; Malacostraca; Decapoda; Varunidae
Exons: 2
Source: RefSeq, a predicted model, not a curated record